UCUUCAUCUUUAUUUUUCACC
This 21-nucleotide non-coding RNA is filed under the name Caenorhabditis elegans. The record is from RNAcentral. Lineage: Eukaryota; Metazoa; Nematoda; Chromadorea; Rhabditida; Rhabditidae.